UCUGACCAGUUCUCUCUUGCCUGAUAGUAUUGUUGCCCUGGGUGGGGCCGCUGGGUUUAUAGAGCUGGAACCCGCCUGGAUUUAACAGCCCCAGCAGCCUUCUGAGACCUGUUCGCAACGCUUGUUCACAGCCCUGCUCUCCAGCUGUGUCAUGGAGAAAGUGACCCAGGGCCUUCUCCUCAUGUUGGUUGGCCUGCCUGCCUUCGAAGCCAAUAACCUGAUUGAUAAAGACAGUCCCUUCUACUAUGAUUGGGAAGGCCUACAGCUGGGCGGGAUGAUCUGCGCAGGGCUCCUAUGCAUCGCUGGAAUCGUUUUUGCCCUGAGUGGCAAAUGCAGAUGCAAGUACAACCAGAAGCAGAGUUCCCAACCUGAAAAAGCUGUUCCACUCAUCAUUCCAGGUGAAACAGGCUCCUGAGUGCUUCCAGGCACUCAGGCAGGGUGCCCACAGAAUUGGAGAGCUAAUAAAUAUUAUACUGCAUGCUGUACCAGUACCUGCUGAGCACAGGACCAGCUGUGUGGCACUCUGGGCACCAGCUCCCAUGCUGUUUUCCUCUCUACUUGGGGGCCUUACUUUCCAUGGCACCCUUUCUCUCCAAGGGUGGGCCCUUAGGCUCCCUUUGGACUGGGAGGCUGUCACAAAGUUUAUCUCAGGAUUAAACUGGUCUACUCCUCC
This is an RNA transcript of Manis pentadactyla (Chinese pangolin), 673 nucleotides long. It is a transcript of the gene named FXYD domain containing ion transport regulator 4, with no coding region annotated. The record is from RefSeq and is a predicted model, not a curated record. Lineage: Eukaryota; Metazoa; Chordata; Mammalia; Pholidota; Manidae. The transcript has 8 exons.